UGGGGAAUAUUGCACAAUGGGCGCAAGCCUGAUGCAGCCAUGCCGCGUGUAUGAAGAAGGCCUUCGGGUUGUAAAGUACUUUCAGCGAGGAGGAAGGCGGUAAGGUUAAUAACCUUAUCGAUUGACGUUACUCGCAGAAGAAGCACCGGCUAACUCCGUUCCAGCAGCCGCGGUAAUACGGAGGGUGCAAGCGUUAAUCGGAAUUACUGGGCGUAAAGCGCACGCAGGCGGUCUGUCAAGUCGGAUGUGAAAUCCCCGGGCUCAACCUGGGAACUGCAUUCGAAACUGGCAGGCUAGAGUCUUGUAGAGGGGGGUAGAAUUCCAGGUGUAGCGGUGAAAUGCGUAGAGAUCUGGAGGAAUACCGGUGGCGAAGGCGGCCCCCUGGACAAAGACUGACGCUCAGGUGCGAAAGCGUGGGGAGCAAACA
RNAcentral lists this ribosomal RNA (427 nucleotides) under uncultured bacterium. Its description in RNAcentral is "partial 16S ribosomal RNA". It matches the Rfam family "Bacterial small subunit ribosomal RNA", at positions 355 to 774 of the family's 1533-position model. The record is from RNAcentral.